Molecule: long non-coding RNA, 1596 nt
Filed under: Sorghum bicolor (sorghum)
Lineage: Eukaryota; Viridiplantae; Streptophyta; Magnoliopsida; Poales; Poaceae
Description: long non-coding RNA (SBIC_LNC003364)
Source: RNAcentral
CGUUGUGAGCUUCCUCUCCUCUCCCGCUUUCUCCCCGUCUAUUUUUCUCGCGAAACGGCGCACUCCUCAGUGCUGUCCGCGGAGCUCCGGCGAGCUCCAUGGCCGCCGGCCAUGGCGCGUGCCGCGUAGGACCUUCCACAGCCGCGCCAAGUGUUCUAGCGAGUUCGCCUUGCCUCCCUCUUCCUCCCUGUGUGCUCGGUUUGGUCAAUCGUGGCCCGGAGUCCGAGUUCCACGAGCUCCGACGGGGACGUUCAUGGCGCCGCCGUGAACCUUCUCGGAAACCGCCUCCUUGACCGCGUUUUUGGAGUGGAAUGGACUCGCAUCGCUCUCCUCUUUCUCCCAGUUCAAUCGGAAUCGAAAACCGUGCACCGUAGCACCUCCUCCGCUCAACUCCGGCGAGCUCGGGCCGGCCGUCAAUGGUGGCCACCGUGUUUCUGGCCGGAGCUGCCUGUCCGCCGUCCCCUUCCUCUCUCUCUCUUUUUUUUUAUUUUUUUUUUAUUUAUCUUUUAAUCCAGCGCGUUCAAUCUUGAUCCAACGGCCAGAAAUACCUAUUACCCCUUCAUAUGAUAUCUUGUUAAAGAGUCCCCCAAAAUUUUUGUAUUUGCACCGCAGUCCUCGGCCAGAGGAAUUUACAGGAUUUAUUUCGUUUAUUUAAAUUCGUUUAAACUCUGUCUUAUUUACAGAAUUGCCACCGCAUUGUUUUAGCUAUAAAAUCGCCGUUUGAACUCCGAAUCAAUCCGUUCAAGUUGCGUUAGUUUCGUAAUUUUGUAAGCUUCGCGUUGGUACCACUGUUGUUUAGGUUUACCACUGUUAGAUUUCCUAGUUAUUUACAAGUCCGUAGAUUGCUGUUGAAAUCCCGUUAAAAGCGUAACUUUCGCGUCGUAAGUCCGUUUUCCGUGAAUUUCGCGUUGACUUGAGCGUAGCAGCACGUAGAUGAUUUUGGAAAACUUUUAUUUAAUUUAUUUACUGCUGGUGUACUGUUCUAACUUUAGGAAUUGUUCUCUUGCAUGUUUGUCUUGGUAUGCGUGAUGAUUGUGAUGUAUUGAUCGAGCCUAGACGGUGAGGAGUAUUUCGGGAGUCCGGAGCUCUUUGGGGAUCAGCAGGACCAGCAAGACCAGCAGGAGUACGUGAACCAAGGCAAGUAUAGCAUGGGCCUACCUUGUUGUCCUACUUAUUUUUAAGCAUUUCACCCUGCAUGUGUAUAAUAUUGCAAACUAUAAGGACAUCCUAGCUGUUGAUGACAAUUACCUUGUUCCCGAGGGUUUUUAUUGCAUAUGGGUAGAAGUGCUAGUGCUCUAACUCCAAUUAUAUAUGAUCUGAAAUCAGUGAUGGAACCAUGGUUAAUUGAUUAAACAUGAUUAUGAUAAUUGGAACAUAGGGCUAUGGUACAAAUGACUGUUGGUCAUGUUGUCCUAGACCCUCCGUAAGGACUUAUCUGUCGGCAAAAGCUGGGACUUACAGUGCAACCGGGAGAGUCACAUGGCUCUGACUUUAGCUCAGUAAUAGGACCUUUUCUAACUCGUUAGAGGUUACCCGAAAGGGCGCAAGAGGCGCUUGCCACUUUGGGUGUAGGGCUGCCCCUGUUUCUAUGAGUAU